CGGACGGGUGAGUAACGCGUGAGAAUCUGCCUCCAGGUCGGGGACAACAGCGGGAAACUGCUGCUAAUCCCGGAUAAGCCCUAGGGUAAAAGAUUUAUUGCCUGGAGAGGAGCUCGCGUCCGAUUAGCUAGAUGGUGAGGUAAGGGCUCACCAUGGCGACGAUCGGUAGCUGUUCUGAGAGGAAGAUCAGCCACACUGGGACUGAGACACGGCCCAGACUCCUACGGGAGGCGGCAGUGGGGAAUUUUCCGCAAUGGGCGAAAGCCUGACGGAGCAAGACCGCGUGCGGGAAGAAGGCCCUUGGGUCGUAAACCGCUUUUCUUAGGGAAGAAGCUCUGACGGUACCUAAGGAAUCAGCCUCGGCUAACUCCGUGCCAGCAGCCGCGGUAAUACGGAGGAGGCAAGCGUUAUCCGGAAUUAUUGGGCGUAAAGCGUCCGCAGGCGGCUUAUCAAGUCUGCUGUCAAAGACUGGGGCUCAACCCUGGGGAGGCAGUGGAAACUGAGAAGCUAGAGUGCAGUAGGGGUAGAGGGAAUUCCCAGUGUAGCGGUGAAAUGCGUAGAGAUUGGGAAGAACACCGGUGGCGAAAGCGCUCUACUGGGCUGUAACUGACGCUGAGGGACGAAAGCUAGGGGAGCGAAAGGGAUUAGAUACCCCUGUAGU
Molecule: ribosomal RNA, 661 nt
Filed under: uncultured cyanobacterium
Lineage: Bacteria; Bacillati; Cyanobacteriota
Description: bacterial SSU rRNA
Rfam family: Bacterial small subunit ribosomal RNA
Source: RNAcentral